RNAcentral lists this small nuclear RNA (108 nucleotides) under Catagonus wagneri (Chacoan peccary). The record is from RNAcentral. Lineage: Eukaryota; Metazoa; Chordata; Mammalia; Artiodactyla; Tayassuidae.
GUGCUUGCUUCGGCAGCGCAGAUACUAAAAUUGGAAUGAUACAGAGAAGAUUAGCAUGGCCUUUUGUGCAAGGCUGAAAUGCAAGUUCAUGAAGUAUUCCGUAUUUUU